Long non-coding RNA from Sceloporus undulatus (fence lizard), 369 nucleotides. RefSeq lists it as uncharacterized. The record is from RefSeq and is a predicted model, not a curated record. The transcript has 4 exons. NCBI's taxonomy places the organism in Eukaryota, Metazoa, Chordata, Lepidosauria, Squamata, Phrynosomatidae.
GUCCUUUGUCUGGAAGAGGUGUUUAGUUGUAUCAAUGAGCCCUGCUGCUAUCUGAUAUGUGGUGACCUACCUCUCUUGAGGAUACAGGAAAAAGAAGAAAUGGAGGUGAAGCAACAAGAUGGAAUAGGGUGAGACACAUGGGAUUUGCUGUGCCUGAAAGUGUUGCCACAGGGAAAAUAAUGCGUAUGGCUUAGGAACUGUGUAACAGGUUGUUGCUUAGGUGGAAGCUCUACAGGUGAAAGCCUGCCUCUGAAACAUGUUGAAACAGAUGUGUAGCCACUUUAUACUGUGUACACCACUCUGAAAACUCUUUGACUGUAUGCUUAAAAUAGGUAUGUGAAUAUAUUAAAUAAACCAUUUGCUACUAGA